CGUGUAGGCGGCCUGUUAAGUCUGGAGUGAAAGUCCUGCUUUCAAGGUGGGAAUUGCUUUGGAGACUGGCGGGCUUGAGUGCGGAAGAGGUAAGUGGAAUUCCCAGUGUAGCGGUGAAAUGCGUAGAGAUUGGGAGGAACACCAGUGGCGAAGGCGACUUACUGGGCCGUAACUGACGCUGAGGCGCGAAAGCGUGGGGAGCGAACA
Molecule: ribosomal RNA, 207 nt
Filed under: uncultured bacterium
Lineage: Bacteria
Description: partial 16S ribosomal RNA
Rfam family: Bacterial small subunit ribosomal RNA
Source: RNAcentral